AACUGGAGUUGCUUUGUCUGAAAUACUCAGGCUAACAAAGGAGGAACCAUUACAGACUAUUAUAUGUGAAAGGAACUUUUGCUGGACUCAAAGAAGCAGUUCUAAACUAUCUUCUUCAAGAGCAUACAAGGCUUUCCUUUUGCUUCAGAGAAAAGAGUUGUCAUAAAAAUCAGUCCUAUAUGUCCAUGGAUGCCUCAUGGUGGAAUUCAUUUAUGAGGACAAAAGUCCUGCAUACAAAGAGCAUGAAUAGCUGUAACUACAGAACUAUGGACCAUGAAUAGCUGUAACUCCUGGAAUUUCAUCAGUGUAAGGAAAAAGGAACCUGCAGUACCAUGGUGAACUCUUCCCCAGGUGGCGGCUGAACAGAUUGAUGGAAUUAACAAAGGAAAUGCCUUUUGAAGAAUCUGUUAUAGCUAAACAACUUUUUCACCAUUUUAACAACAUUAAUUGACAAUCACUGUUGAAAAAUAAGAAUGGAUGGUGGACAUAGCUAUAAAGCCUUACCAAAUGCAUAUUUUUUUUUCAGACUAGACAUGUUUUCUAGCAACACAAACUAAUUAUUUUUAAAUAGGAAGAGAAA
This 580-nucleotide long non-coding RNA is filed under the name Phasianus colchicus (ring-necked pheasant). Its description in RNAcentral is "lncRNA (ENSPCLG00000008817.1)". The record is from RNAcentral. Lineage: Eukaryota; Metazoa; Chordata; Aves; Galliformes; Phasianidae.